UCUGUGUUUUGAAUCUUUUCUUGUACUUUUCGAAGAAAAAAAAAAUGUGGGUGCUUAACUGGCAUUUUUUAAUUAUAUGUGAUUCAUAGACACUACACGAGAAUGGGGGAAAACAUUUCAUAUUUACAGGAUCAGCAAUCCCAAGUUGGUUGAAUUGCAGUAGCAAGGGUCCAUCCCUGCGUUUCUGGUUUCGUAACAAGUUUCCCGAAAUUACUCUAUGUGCUGCUGGACUUUUUCGUUCGUUCGAUCACCGUGUGUGGCACCUGAUGGUCAAUGACAUACUACAGUUCUCGGUAUAUUGUUGUGUUAUAGAUCAUUCAUUUCAGGUUGAGACAAAUCAUACUUUUGUGUAUGAUCCUCUUGAAAUAAGGGUUAUCACAAAUGAAGAAUUACAUAUUAAGAAUGGGUGGAACAGUGCUGAGAUUUUGUUUGACUAUCAUGAAUGGAUGGGAGUACAUGUACCGGAACAAAAAUCAAACAUGGCAGAUAUUCAAUUUUCAAAUCCCUACUCUUCAAUGUCAAAGUAACAAAAACGCACCGAUAAUCUUUUAUAGGUUUCAGGUUACACUUGCAUGGUCAUGACUGACCUAUGCUGCCUCAAGCAAUACCACAACUUAAAGCUUUAAGAGCCAAGCGAUUUGUCUGCUGAAUCAAAGAAAUGAAGAUGAUUUCAAGGUCAAAGCCAAACCAACUAUAGCUGCAUUGUAGUUCAGUCAGGUGACACUUGUGUUUCAAGAACAGGGGAGUGUACACCAAUGCAAGAUACAGGUUAACUAAGCAUUGAAAGGCUUACGCUUGGGAAGUAUCAAUGUGGUCCCUUCUGAUUCUCUAUCAGAGACUCUUUCCUUUCUUAGAUCACAUUUUAAGCUACUUCUAUGCUUCCAUCCAUUCCUUCUGUUAAAUCCAUAUUUGUUGUACAAGAGUUUUCAGUAUUUUUGUGUAUUAUGUUGUUUGUUA
Molecule: non-coding RNA, 957 nt
Organism: Cajanus cajan (pigeon pea)
Lineage: Eukaryota; Viridiplantae; Streptophyta; Magnoliopsida; Fabales; Fabaceae
Source: RefSeq, a predicted model, not a curated record